This 302-nucleotide ribosomal RNA is filed under the name Levilactobacillus brevis. Its description in RNAcentral is "bacterial SSU rRNA". It matches the Rfam family "Bacterial small subunit ribosomal RNA", at positions 393 to 688 of the family's 1533-position model. Lineage: Bacteria; Bacillati; Bacillota; Bacilli; Lactobacillales; Lactobacillaceae. The record is from RNAcentral.
CAUGCCGCGUGAGUGAGAAGGGUUUCGGCUCGUAAAACUCUGUUGUUAAAGAAGAACACCUUUGAGAGUAACUGUUCAAGGGUUGACGGUAUUUAACCAGAAAGCCACGGCUAACUACGUGCCAGCAGCCGCGGUAAUACGUAGGUGGCAAGCGUUGUCCGGAUUUAUUGGGCGUAAAGCGAGCGCAGGCGGUUUUUUAAGUCUGAUGUGAAAGCCUUCGGCUUAACCGGAGAAGUGCAUCGGAAACUGGGAGACUUGAGUGCAGAAGAGGACAGUGGAACUCCAUGUGUAGCGGUGGAAUA